UAGGGGGCAAGCGUUAUCCGGAUUUACUGGGUGUAAAGGGAGCGUAGACGGCAAUGCAAGUCUGAAGUGAAAGCCCAGGGCUUAACCCUGGGACUGCUUUGGAAACUGUGUAGCUGGAGUGCAGGAGAGGUAAGUGGAAUUCCUAGUGUAGCGGUGAAAUGCGUAGAUAUUAGGAGGAACACCAGUGGCGAAGGCGGCUUACUGGACUGUAACUGACGUUGAGGCUCGAAAGCGUGGGGAGCAAA
Molecule: ribosomal RNA, 245 nt
Filed under: uncultured bacterium
Lineage: Bacteria
Description: partial 16S ribosomal RNA
Rfam family: Bacterial small subunit ribosomal RNA
Source: RNAcentral